Molecule: long non-coding RNA, 897 nt
Filed under: Homo sapiens (human)
Lineage: Eukaryota; Metazoa; Chordata; Mammalia; Primates; Hominidae
Description: HSALNT0279203
Source: RNAcentral
AAAUAUGUGGGGACUAUGAGUAAAUAUUUGUACUUCUCAUUGCUAAGUCUUUCAAAGUUUGCUUUGGAUUAAAAGAACAAAAAGAGUUGUCCAGGAGCAAAUGAUGAGACAGCACAGCCCUGCGUCCCUCCCAGCCUCAGGCUGAUCACAGGACACCUGUCAGGGUGAAAGUACACAGGACGUGCCGCAGGUGAGCCGAGCCAGCACCGCCCACCGAGCCUCCACAGAAGAUCCUCCACGGUUCCAGGAUGGACAGUCCCUACAAAAUCAGCCCUGAGAAUCACUGAACUUCACAAAUUGUCCAAGGACGAGGCACGUCGACUUCGGCAGAUGAAGUUUCUUUCCCGAAGUUGUUUUUCAACACAGCGAGCAGUUCUCAGAAACACUUUGGGUGGCUUAUCUGGGAAGUUAUAUCUGCUCACUUGGCAGCCCUUUCCACAUCUUACAGUGGAGCACAGCCGGUCACAGCAUCGAUACUGUGCACAGUUUAAAACCAUCUGAAUGUUGUCUUCUUGGAACAUUUCAGAAACCUGCAAAAUUAGUUGAUAGGAAGGCAUGAAGGCAGUGCCUCUAGCUCCAUCGUGCUGCACAUCUCCAUGAGAAAAUUGAAGCUCAUCCUUCCAAGCUGCUGGUGACCCUCAGGAUGGGUGAGCAUGCGCUUGGCCUAAGAAUCCCAGCCAACCUCAGCCGAGGGGAGCCCCUUCCUGCUCCCCCCACGACCUGCUGCUUUGCUGUUCGCCACCAAAACUCCCCGUGCGUGCCGGAAAGAGGUGCUGCCUGGACUCCUGUGUCUCGGACACUUUUCAGAACUGCAUGGAGAGUGCACUGCAGGUGGGGUCUAUCUGUACAAAGACCGUGAAGGCACCAUCCAGGUGCAGAGACAGGAGCUUGGCGAGG